Long non-coding RNA from Chinchilla lanigera (long-tailed chinchilla), 3945 nucleotides. NCBI's taxonomy places the organism in Eukaryota, Metazoa, Chordata, Mammalia, Rodentia, Chinchillidae. The record is from Ensembl.
GUUGGAGGUCUGCUGGGCUGAGAGCUGGGGAACUUCGCUCUUGGCAAGCUGGGGCUGAGACGCCUUUGGCAGGGAGCGAGGCUGGGGACAAACGUUGGCCUUGAGCGCCCGGUGCUGCCGCCUCAGGAGGUCCUCGUUCUUGGACGAUGUCAGUGGCUGAGGCUGAAGUGUCCUCGGUGAGGGAGCAUCUCCGUCCUCGAGCAGAUUUCUCACGUCCUUGUCUCCCAGCCUCGCGGGUGAUGCUGCCACACCGCAUAACCAUCCUGUGAGAAUUCCACUUCCCGCCUGGAGAACAGUUUACAGAGAUCCCCAAACUUCAAGCCCUGAGGUAGCAAACUUCCGUGGGGAAAAUACCCCUCUCCCUAACUCAGUGUAUAGAGUGAACCAAUUCAGGUAAAUUAGCCAGGAUUCCACACGCGUGGCUCCAGAAGUGACGACAGUGUCACAGUUCAUGCGGAGUAGGAUUUCUUCACCUGAGCCCUGAAGCAGCAUUGCUUGUGGGUCUUCGUCUCAGAGAAUUCCUUGUAAAAACAAACAGAAACUGCCCACUGGGCUUUGGUCCAGACAGCAUUCUCGCUGGGCCCAAAACAAGUCCACAGGUUGGUCUAGAACAGCCCCUUGGUGCCUCCUCCACCAGGCACUAGUGCAAAUCUCUGCCUGGGCCAAGCAACUCCCCUGCAGCCCUCUGAGAUCACCAGAGGUCCAAGCAUAGCUUGCUCUCAUUUUAGGGCUCAUGGGACGGAGAAAACACUUCAGAAAGGUCAUGCACAGCUUCGGAGAGUAUGAAGACGGAAAAGCACACCCCACAUCAUUGAGUGAGAAGGGAUUAACAGAGAGAAGAGCAGGCUGGAUCCAGUGUUACACCCCGCAGGACACCAGGCGUCAGCACACAUGGCCAGCACAGAGAGGUCGCAAUCACACACUCGGAAAAUCCAGGUUCUCUGGCCUUCUCCUAAAUGCUCAGCGGCCUUUGAAAAUCCUGCUGCCUUUCCUCCUUGAGGCAGACAGGAGUCCUCGUUUGAAGGCCAGAUUAGUCACCUCCUGCCUGGCCUCCCUCUGGCCUCUCCUCACAGCAGAACAGCGCCCCGCACUCUGCAUGUUCUCACACCGCACUGUUCCUAUGCUGAAACUGGCUCGGUCUCCUGCCCCGAGCCUGUGCAAGCCUACAUUUCACUCAUCCUGGCCGAUCUGGCAAAGCACAUUGCCUGGCAGGAGCAGGAGCUCAGUGAAUAUUUCUUGAAUGGAUGAACCGGCGCCACCCUUGCAAAUGGGGUCUAAGAAAAGGAAGGAAAUCCCCUGAAGAGCUAGAAAUUAAAGUUCUUAUUACUUUGUUACACACAGGUUUAUGCCUUGCUUUUUAAUUUAAAAAUAAAAAGAGCUAAAAUUGAGCACUCGCUGGGGUGCUGAGUGUUUUACGUGCAUUAUUGUGCUAAAACCCAAAACCUCCAUCUGAGGCAGAGAUUACUACCUUGUUUUACAGUCGAAUAAACAGAAACUGAGAGAGGUUAGGAAAUGUAUCCAGAUUCACAUAUGUGGUAAGUAGGAGUCUGCUUGGCUUGAAAAUCUGCUCCUUCCACUGCCUUGGUUUUCACAUAUGAAUUGCAGUCUCGGCAGUAUCCUAUAUCAUUAACCUAUUUUUAAUUAUUUUCUUGCAUAAGGGAGAAGCUUCUACACACAGCUGGACUACCUGUUACUUUGUAGGUGCACUGACAGGAACCCUUACGCUUCUGGAUGUGCAAAAUGCAGCAUUUCCGACUCACCCCAGAUGCCCGGAAGCAGACUGUACAUGCGAACAAGACUUUUAGUGGCGCAUGCUCGUUGGUGUUUGAGAAGAUACAGACCACACGUCCACGAACCACAGCUCACAGGCCAAACUCAGCCCACUCCAUCUUUUCAUGGACCAAAAGCGAAGAAUGUUGUUUUGUUUUGGUUUUUGGUUUUUUUUUUUUUUUGAGACAGAAUCUCACCAUGUAGUUCAGGCUGUCUGUAAACUCACUAUGUAGCCCAAACUGGCCUUGAACUCAUAGCGAUCCUCCUACUUCAGCCUCCUGAAUACUGUGUUUUUUGUAUUUUUAAGUGGUUAUAAUUUUUUUCCAAAAAAGAGAUACUAUUUGGUGACAUACGAAAUACUAUAUGAAAUUCACAUUUUCUAUCCAUACAUAAAGUUGUAUUGAAACAUGCUCAUUUGUUUAUUUACUGUCUGUUACGGCAGACUUGGAUAGUUACAAUAGGCUGUAUGGCCCACAGAGAUAUUUACUACCUGCUCCUCUGUAGAAACAAUAUCGCCAUCUCCUUCCUAACUCUGCCCUCCGACCAGCCAACCUCAGGUCUGUUGUUCUAAUGGAACUGUGCAAAGCAGCAGCAGCAUUUGGGAGAAUUAGGGGAGAAGGGCACUCCCACAAGAACCCGCACACAGCUGGGGGGGACCGCCCACACAGCCGAAGUCCACAUGGCAGAGGGAAUGUGGGCAAGCAGGUGGUACAGCAAGGGGACAAGCAAGAGAGGGCCCAUGCAGUGCAAAUAUGCACAGGGAACUUGAGCAUGCAGCACCUCCAGGGUGAGUGGGGAAAGCUGGCCAGACCAAGGAUGAAGAGUCCAGUGCACCACUGGCUUUGUUCUGAGACUACAACUAGUGGCAGAGUGAGGUGGUGUUCCUGUGGCUGGAUCCUGUGGCUGGAUCCUGUGGCUGGAUCAGCAGACCUUCUCAAGGUCUUCCACACUGUGAGGGUGGAAAGGAAAGGUGCUCCCAUGCCAAAGAAGAAAUCCUAACCUUGAUGUACAGAAGGAUAAGGUUCCCCAGCUAUCUGCACCUUGACCUUGAGAUAGAAACAGUAGCUGCCUGCACUGAGCAGUCACCUAGGCAGUCGCCCAACCCCACCCCCAAGUCUGAUUCCCUGGGAAUCUGUGUUGUAACAAGUAUCCCAGGUGUUUCCUCUGCUUUGAGAAACACUGCCUCCCUAAAUGUAAGAAUUCAGGCUUUCGCCAGGAGCUAGCGCAGUUUGAGUAGGUCAGGCUUCCAAGUGAUCAUGCGUCUGGGUGGAAGGUUCCUGGCUGCUGGUGUUGUGCAGGAUUUCAGGAAGAGGCAGCAGCAUUAAAGAAUUGAGAGGCUGCAUCUGCUGCUACCAAGGGAGGAGGAGGUCCCGAAAUGCAGAGGCAUCUGAGAAACUCAUGGAACGGCCAUUAGCUGAAGAGCUGAGAGUGAAGCUGAGGGUCUGAACUCAAAGGAUAUCCCCGAGUAAGAUCUGGAGCAUGUGACAGCCAAGGAAGAAAAAGACCUGCCUCUCCCUAGUGAUGUGAGGAUCUCAAGUGACGCAUGAUAGAUUAGGGAGCUCAGGGCUCGGGGUCAAUAUAGACAGAACUCAUAUGUAUGUGCUAUUUUCAGAACCUUGUUAAAUUUUAUCUCCACUCCCACCAUCCCACAAUAAAAGUAUCAAGAAGCAUGAAUACAAGGCAUUGUCUCAUGCAUCCAUAAUUCAGCUCCCUAAAAAAAAUGGUAGAUAGGAGGACAGGGUGGGAAAUUCUAGCUUGUUUUAAUCUGCUUUAGAGCUGCUGUGGAAAAGCAGUUGUUCUUCUGUUUCCUAUUCUUUUAAGGAAGUCAUGCUGAAGGCAACCUCAUUUGAAGCUCAGCAAGUGACAUCUGCCCUGUUUUGGCUUCUCAGUGAGAUGUUGACUCAGCUUUUGCACACAGCACCUUUCUGCCUUGAGACAAGAAAACAUUCCCAGGCUCUGUAAGCGAUUAUGCAGGGUUGCUAUUAGGAAUUAGUACACUUAAGUGGAUUCCCAGCCCACCCAGAAAUAUAGGUCUGACCCUCAAGGUUAGUAAGUCAGGGAGGCAGAUCCAAGGAAGGCUGACACUCCCUGCCCAGUUAUUUUCAAACCCCAGCGGCUGCUUCAGCAUGUAAUACCACUUGUGAAACUUCUCCAUACAAGGACAUCUGUGCCCUA